Molecule: ribosomal RNA, 491 nt
Filed under: uncultured bacterium
Lineage: Bacteria
Description: bacterial SSU rRNA
Rfam family: Bacterial small subunit ribosomal RNA
Source: RNAcentral
UAGUCCACGCUGUAAACGAUGAUCACUCGCUGUUGGCGAUAUACUGUCAGUGGCUGAGCGAAAGCAUUAAGUGAUCCACCUGGGGAGUACGAUCGCAAGGUUGAAACUCAAAGGAAUUGACGGGGGCCCGCACAAGCGGAGGAGCAUGUGGUUUAAUUCGAUAAUACGCGAGGAACCUUACCUAGGCUUAAAUGCAGAACGACCUCUGCCGAAAGGUGGAUUUCUUCGGACGGACUGCAAGGUGCUGCAUGGUUGUCGUCAGCUCGUGCCGUGAGGUGUCGGGUUAAGUCCCAUAACGAGCGCAACCCCUAUUCUUAGUUACCAUCAGGUUAUGCUGGGGACUCUAAGGAAACUGCCUACGCAAGUAGUGAGGAAGUGGGGAUGACGUCAAAUCAGCACGGCCCUUAUGCCUAGGGCUACACACGUGCUACAAUGGCCGAUACAGAGGGCAGCUACCUGGCAACAGGAUGCAAAUCUCGAAAGUCGGUCUC